GCUGGCGGCGUGCCUAACACAUGCAAGUCGAGCGAGAACCAGGACCUUCGGGUCUUGGGGACAGCGGCGAACGGGUGAGUAACACGUGAGUAAUCCACCCUUGGUACCGGGAUAGCUCGGGGAAACUCGAAUUAAUACCGGAUAGCCCAUGAGCCUUUCGGGGCGAAUGGAAAAGGUAGCUUCGGCCUCCGACCAAGGACGAGCUCGCGGCGGAUUAGCUUGUUGGCGGGGUAAUGGCCCACCAAGGCGACGAUCCGUAGCUGGUCUGAGAGGACGAUCAGCCACACUGGGACUGAGACACGGCCCAGACUCCUACGGGAGGCAGCAGUGGGGAAUCUUGCGCAAUGGGCGAAAGCCUGACGCAGCGACGCCGCGUGAGGGAAGAAGGCCUUCGGGUUGUAAACCUCUUUCAGAAGGGACGAAGCCACUCGGGUUAAUAGCCCAGAGGGUGACGGUACCUUCAGAAGAAGCCCCGGCUAACUACGUGCCAGCAGCCGCGGUAAUAC
Molecule: ribosomal RNA, 506 nt
Filed under: uncultured Actinomycetes bacterium
Lineage: Bacteria; Bacillati; Actinomycetota; Actinomycetes
Description: bacterial SSU rRNA
Rfam family: Bacterial small subunit ribosomal RNA
Source: RNAcentral